Molecule: transfer RNA, 83 nt
Filed under: Fusarium equiseti
Lineage: Eukaryota; Fungi; Ascomycota; Sordariomycetes; Hypocreales; Nectriaceae
Also listed under: 2 other names
Description: tRNA-Pro
Rfam family: tRNA
About the family: Transfer RNA (tRNA) molecules are approximately 80 nucleotides in length. Their secondary structure includes four short double-helical elements and three loops (D, anti-codon, and T loops).
Source: RNAcentral
GGCUUAAUGGUCUAGCGGUAUGAUUCCUGCUUUGGGUUUAUCACUCUUGCAGGAGGUCCCGGGUUCAAUCCCCGGUUGAGCCC